GACCUCAAAUCGGGUGAGACUACCCGCUGAACUUAAGCAUAUCAAUAAGCGGAGGAAAAGAAACUAACAAGGAUUCCCCUAGUAACUGCGAGUGAAGCGGGAAAAGCUCAAAUUUAAAAUCUGGCGGUCUUUGGCCGUCCGAGUUGUAAUUUAGAGAAGCGUCUUCCGCGCCGGACCGUGCACAAGUCUCCUGGAAUGGAGCGUCAUAGAGGGUGAGAAUCCCGUCUUUGGCACGGAUGCCCGGUGCUUCUGUGAUGCGCUCUCGAAGAGUCGAGUUGUUUGGGAAUGCAGCUCAAAAUGGGGUGGUGAACUCCAUCUAAAGCUAAUUAUUGGGC
This 335-nucleotide ribosomal RNA is filed under the name uncultured fungus. RNAcentral describes it as "eukaryotic LSU rRNA". It matches the Rfam family "Eukaryotic large subunit ribosomal RNA", at positions 1 to 328 of the family's 3401-position model. The record is from RNAcentral. Lineage: Eukaryota; Fungi.